UACGGAGGGUGCAAGCGUUAUCCGGAUUUACUGGGUUUAAAGGGUGCGUAGGUGGGCAGUUAAGUCAGCGGUGAAAUCUCUGGGCUUAACCCAGAAACUGCCAUUGAUACUAUCUGUCUUGAAUAUCCUGGAGGUGAGCGGAAUAUGUCAUGUAGCGGUGAAAUGCUUAGAUAUGACAUAGAACACCAAUUGCGAAGGCAGCUCACUAAGGGGUUAUUGACACUGAGGCACGAAAGCGUGGGGAUCAAACAGG
RNAcentral lists this ribosomal RNA (253 nucleotides) under uncultured bacterium. RNAcentral's name for it is "partial 16S ribosomal RNA". It matches the Rfam family "Bacterial small subunit ribosomal RNA", at positions 524 to 776 of the family's 1533-position model. The record is from RNAcentral.